Molecule: non-coding RNA, 72 nt
Organism: Phrynosoma platyrhinos (Desert horned lizard)
Lineage: Eukaryota; Metazoa; Chordata; Lepidosauria; Squamata; Phrynosomatidae
Source: the annotation of a GenBank genome assembly
GCCAAGAUGGUCUAGUGGUUUGAGCAUUUGACUACAGCUCUGGAGACCAGAGUUCAAAUCCCUAUUCAAGCA